Molecule: unclassified non-coding RNA, 336 nt
Filed under: Hevea brasiliensis (rubber tree)
Lineage: Eukaryota; Viridiplantae; Streptophyta; Magnoliopsida; Malpighiales; Euphorbiaceae
Source: RNAcentral
GGAAAAUCUGGGACUAAGAAACAGGAAAUUGAGAAAAUUGUUCGAACUGAUGUGAAAGACGACUCCUGUCAAGCUUGUGGAGGAGAUAGUAAUCUUUUGUAUUGUAGAACAUGUAACUAUGCUUACCACCCCAAGUGUUUAGUUCCUCCACUAAAGGCUCCUCUUCCAAGCAGUUGGAGUUGCCCUGAAUGUGUGAGUCCCCUGAAUGAUAUUGACAAAAUAUUGGACUUUGAAAUGCGCCCUACUGUUGCUGAGGAUCAGGAUGCUUCCAAGCUAGGGUCGAAGCAAGUAUUUGUUAAACAGUACCUUGUUAAGUGGAAAGGAUUGUCGUAUCUU